GCCGCGGUGGUGAAAUUGGUAGACACAGGAGACUCAAAAUCUCCCGCCGCAAGGUGUGUCAGUUCGAGUCUGACCCGCGGCACCA
This 85-nucleotide transfer RNA is filed under the name Burkholderiaceae bacterium. RNAcentral's name for it is "tRNA-Leu". It matches the Rfam family "tRNA". Rfam says of the family: Transfer RNA (tRNA) molecules are approximately 80 nucleotides in length. The record is from RNAcentral. RNAcentral also lists the same sequence under 1 other name. Lineage: Bacteria; Pseudomonadati; Pseudomonadota; Betaproteobacteria; Burkholderiales; Burkholderiaceae.